Phoenix dactylifera (date palm) is the source of this 2409-nucleotide non-coding RNA. NCBI's taxonomy places the organism in Eukaryota, Viridiplantae, Streptophyta, Magnoliopsida, Arecales, Arecaceae. The record is from RefSeq and is a predicted model, not a curated record.
UCCCAAGCGUAAAACCACCGAAGCAGCGUCGCCGCUCUGAGCUUUAGGUUUUAGGGUUAGGGUUUUUCAUUUCCGCUCUCCUCCGGCUAUGGAUCCCAACUUGAAGAAGCGCAAGUCCGACGAGAACGGCGCCGUCGUGGCCUCUCCGGCGAGUCUGAUGCCCGAGGACGCCCGCAAGGUCGUGGAGCCCUUCACACGCGAGCAACUCCUCGACAUCGUCCAGGAUGCCAUGUGCCGUGACGCCGGCGUCCUCGACGCCGUCCGGGCCAUCGCCGACAGGGACCCAGCCCAGCGCAAGCUCUUCAUCCGAGGCCUCGGUUGGGAGACCACCACCGAGGCUCUCCGCAACCUCUUCUCCUCGUACGGCGAGCUCGAGGAGGCCGUCGUCAUCGUUGACAAGGCCACGGGAAAGAGCAAGGGCUACGGCUUCAUCACCUUCCGCCACAUUGAUGGCGCUCUCCUUGCCCUCAAGGAACCCUCCAAGAAGAUCGACGGCCGCAUGACCGUCACCCAGCUCGCCGCCGCCGGCACCGCCGGCCCCACCGCCGCCGCCCCUCCUGCCGUCGACGUCUCCCUGCGCAAGAUCUAUGUCGGAAACGUCCCCGCUGACAUGCCCUCCGACCGCCUCCUCGCCCACUUCUCCUCCUACGGGGAGAUUGAGGAGGGGCCUCUGGGGUUUGACAAGCAGACGGGCAAGUUCCGGGGGUUCGCCCUCUUUGUCUACAAGACAGCCGAGGGAGCUCGGGCGUCGCUUGUCGACGCCACCAAGGACAUCGAUGGGCACCAUCUGGUGUGCAAACUUGCGAUUGACGGGAAGAAGGGGAAGGCGGGGGCUCCAGCCGCCGGUGGUGCUGCUCCGGUGGGUGGAGUCCAUGGCCAGCCAAUGGGAGGCGGGGUUGAUGUCGGUGGGGAUGGGCUCGGAAUGGGUCACCAGUCCUCUUUGCCAGGUUCUCUGUCGAGUCAAUACGGAGGACCAGGCAGUGGGAUCUCUUCUUUUGGGGGUUACUCUGGCGGUGGGAUACCAGGUGCUGCUGGUCUGGGUCAACAUCAUCACCCGAACUCAUCCUUGCCAUCAUCGAUUGGAGCGGGCACUCCCGGUCUCUCAUCGGUUGGAAGCCAGGUGCCUUCGGCUCUAGCUGGUGCUGGUGCUGGAGCUGGAGCUGGAGCUGGAGGUUAUGGAGGGGGUUUUGGGGGUCCUUAUGGGUCUUCCUCGCAGUAUGGUGGUCCUGGUUAUGGUGGUUUUGGCGGAGGAUCAUCUUUGUACCGCAUGCCACCAAGCUCUGUUGGGAUGCCUUCUGGGGGUUAUCCUGAGAGCGGGCAUUACCCGCUGUCAUCAUCUGCUUACCAGAGCCAACACCACCCACCGACUGGUUCAUCUCCUGGACCUAGGGUUCCGAGUGGAGGGGGGCUUUACCAGAACAUAAACCCUUUCUACUAGGGGGAAGGAAGGAGUUCUUCUAAUUUUGGUAAUCCGAGUUGAAAUGGAAAACAAUCCAUUAUGACAGGUUUGUGGAGCCUGCCGCAAGAACGGAAAGUUCGGACAAGUUUUAUUUCAUGCGUCGUCAUAAACUGCGAUUAUUUGGCAAAACUCUAUUGGUGUCCGGUAAUUGCACGUAUGAUGGAAGAUAAAUGGUUCGGUCAAUUGCUUUACAGGCCCAGGAGGGGCAAGCAUGUUCAUUAGGACGGGAUCCAGCCUUGUAGGGUGGUAUGAGUUUGAAGUGGGGUUGGAUGGAAAUCACGGGAAUGGCAAGUCGGAAUAACUUAUGCGGAUCGGCCAAAUUAUUUUUUUAGAGCCAUGGUGUGCGUAUGAUAAAAAUGCUGCAAUAUUCUCUGAAAUAUAAAAUAAUGCAGGUAAAGCUGCGGGAGCUUGCAUAAACGGUAUAUGGUGCAUUGGGUUACGACACUAUUUACUUGCAUGUAAUCUGAGUCACGCUCCUUCCCCCAUAAUGCUUGGCAUUUGCGUCAAAUAGAUUCAGCGUUCACUUUAAGAGGCAGGUGUGGCUAUUAUCUAACGUCCUUUCAACUGUGAAUUAUCGUACGUCAAGUCAGACCCAUGCUAAUCGGUGCUGCCAUUGCUUUUAUUGAAUAGUCCAAAGGGGGUUGGUACUUACAUUAUCAGGGAAAGAAUAUCCCUCCGCCAUUUGUUGCCAAAUAAUCCCGUGGUGUUGUAUGGUGUCUAUGUUGAUGAAAUGCACGGUUCAUGCAUUUCAUCGGAUCUGGUCCAACGUUCAAGAGAAGUGUGAGCAUCCAUGUUUAAUCCCACAUGUAAUUAAAAAAUCUAAAUAAUAUCUUUCUAUUAUUUGUUUAGGUGAGAUUUUACAUAGUUAUAAAUACUAUUAGAGCGGACUGGCUCAUAGUGUAUGUAGACUAGAAAGUAUUGAUUGUGGUGCUUGUGCGUGAAUUGAAUAA